CUUCACACUUGUUCCCUCCAAUUUUCUACUAGAAAAGUUUAAAAAUUCUCCUGCUAAUUUUUCGUUUCCCCCCAAAGACCAUGAUUUCACCAAAAUUUGAAGUUUCCUCCACAUCUUCACAAUUUCACCGCUUAGCUUUCUCUAGUUGUGUUCUCCACCUCCAAAUGGACCCUCUUAUUCAUCGAUGGUUGCCGAAAUCUAUCACCUGCUAGCGAACCACCGUCGCCUAACAGUCGGGCAGCCUUUUGGUUUUACUCAAUGAUACUUGUACUAUUCUCUACACCGUCCGACGGACUCCGACAUACAGUUGCCGCCAUGUUACCCAACAUUCCCCUCAUGUUACCCUCAUUUUCAUACAGUUAGCUUAUAUUAAGAGGGCUAGCAUGAAAUAUGGGAACAAACAUUUUUUUUAUAGACAGGACCAGGCGUGAUACCUACAAGGUUAAAAGCAGUUUCAUCCAUUGAAUUAUGCCAACACAAAUUCCCUUCUAAGACCAUGUGUUGUGGAAGGGGAAGAUAAUGCCCCCACCCUAGGGCAUUUUACGCCAUUUGGCGGUCCAGUCAGCAAAUAGACAUUAUUGAGCGUUUUUCGGCGUUAUUUUUGAAUUUUUCUUAAAAAAAAACGCCCCACUACGGGGGAUCUAACUAAUUUUGGUGUGGAAGGCAAGCAACUAUUAGCGGUAGGUUCAUGAUGUACAUGGCUACUCGAGAAGCCUGGCUUGAUUUGUUGCUAACAUGGGCCUUGUCGUGGGAAAUUGCUUCAAAGAACAUAAGAAAAGUUGUCACAAGGUGUCACAUUUGGUCUUGGUUGGGGGGAAGAGUAGAGGAAUACUCGGCUGCAGAUAUGGAUGACAUUCGCGAAGAUUGGUCGAUUUAUGCGGUUACCUCUAUUGUAACCAUAUUUUAGGUGUUGACGAAUGUAUUGAUAAACAAUUUUUUUUUUGUUAAAGUUAACAUAUUUGUAAUAUACUUGACAUAUGAUUAUGUAAUGGGUUGUUUUGGUAUA
Helianthus annuus (common sunflower) is the source of this 1006-nucleotide long non-coding RNA. RefSeq lists it as uncharacterized. The transcript is spliced from 3 exons. Lineage: Eukaryota; Viridiplantae; Streptophyta; Magnoliopsida; Asterales; Asteraceae. The record is from RefSeq and is a predicted model, not a curated record.